UCAAAUUUGUAGCUGUUAUAGUUUCGGGGAUUUCAUGAUGAAUGAGUCAAUGUACCAUCCCCCGUUUUAACCCCGAAAGGGAGUUGAUUUCUAAAGAUACAUUGUUUAGAGACCUCCUCACCAACUAUGGAGCAUACAUUUUAAAUUUCAAGUCUCUUACUUCAAAAUCAUAGUACGUUCAUACAAACUUGCAACCCCCAUUUCACCCCCUUAGGGGUCGAGUUUCGUAAAAUUUGUUCUUAGCGGAUGUUUACGCUCUAUAAGGAACCUACCUAUCAAACGUCAAAUUUGUAG
RNAcentral lists this unclassified non-coding RNA (294 nucleotides) under Melitaea cinxia (Glanville fritillary). Its description in RNAcentral is "misc RNA ENSMCXG00005001739.1". Lineage: Eukaryota; Metazoa; Arthropoda; Insecta; Lepidoptera; Nymphalidae. The record is from RNAcentral.